Molecule: long non-coding RNA, 323 nt
Filed under: Pan troglodytes (chimpanzee)
Lineage: Eukaryota; Metazoa; Chordata; Mammalia; Primates; Hominidae
Description: long non-coding RNA NONPTRT010167
Source: RNAcentral
CUGGGGCAUAAGUGCUGUCCUAGUUGUCUGGUACCAGGCUCCAGGGCAUGAGGGCUGAGGCAUAGUGGCCCUGCAGUGGGAGGUGUGUGAGAAUCCCAUAAGAAAGGUGGUUUGGGUGUGGACUUCACCACCUGCUCAAGAAGGGAACUUGACUAAUCUUUAGCCAGUACUUCAAAACAGGCUAGUAAGUCAAGACAGGACAGUUAAAAAUAAAAAUAAAUAUUACAUUCAGAUUUCUUUUCUAUGCCCCCAGGAACUGUGGGCAGUCCCAGUAGGUCCCUGAAGGUCACAGGCCCAGAGUGCACACACACCCACUACACACU